This is an RNA transcript of Aethalodelphis obliquidens (Pacific white-sided dolphin), 4371 nucleotides long. It is a transcript of the gene named plasminogen activator, urokinase, with no coding region annotated. The transcript has 12 exons. Lineage: Eukaryota; Metazoa; Chordata; Mammalia; Artiodactyla; Delphinidae. The record is from RefSeq and is a predicted model, not a curated record.
UAUAGAGCCAGCACGGCCCGCUAGCAGCACAGUGCGGAGACUGGAGCCCUAGAGCCCGCCCGAGCAUCAGAGUGUCCACUAGUCCCCGCUAUUCCGGCCCUGCGCUCCUCCGGCCAUAGGUGCGGAGCCGCUGUCUAGAGCCCCAGCCUCGCCACCAUGAGACUCCUGCUGGCAUGCCUUCUCCUCUGCGCCCUGGUCGUGAGAGACUCCGAGGGCAGCCAUGAACUUCAUCAAGUGUCUGGUGCCUCGAAGUGUGGCUGUCUGAAUGGAGGAAAAUGUGUGUCCUACAAGUACUUCUCCAACAUUCAACGAUGCGACUGCCCAAAGAAAUUCCAAGGGGAACACUGUGAGAUAGAUACAUCGAAAACCUGCUAUCAGGGGAAUGGUCACUCUUACCGAGGGAAGGCCAACACUGACACCAGCGGCCGGCCCUGCCUGGCCUGGAACUCUCCCACCAUCCUUCUGAAAACGUACCAUGCCCACAGACCUGAUGCCCUUCAGCUGGGACUGGGGAAACACAAUUACUGCAGGAACCCAGACAAUCAGAGGAGACCCUGGUGCUAUGUGCAUGUUGGCCUAAUGCAGGUUGUCCAGGAGUGCAUGGUGCACAGCUGCUCUUCUGCAAGAUAUCACUUUCUUUCUCCUCCAGAAAAGUUACAGUGUGGCCAGAAGGCUCUGAGGCCCCGCUUUAAGAUUGUUGGGGGAGAAUUCACCACCAUCGAGAACCAGCCUUGGUUUGCAGCCAUCUAUAGGAGGCACCGUGCAGGCUCUGUUACCUACAUGUGCGGUGGCAGCCUCAUCAAUCCCUGCUGGGUGGUCAGCGCCACACACUGCUUCAUUGAAUACCAAAAGAAGGAGGACUACAUUGUCUACCUGGGUCGGUCAAAGCUUAACUCCAUCACGCCUGGCGAGAUGCAGUUUGAGGUGCAAAAGCUCAUCUUACAUAAGGACUACAGUGCUGACACCCUUGCUCACCACAAUGAUAUUGCCUUGCUGAAGAUCCGUUCCAGCACAGGCCAGUGUGCACAGCCAUCCCGGUCCAUACAGGUCAUCUGCCUGCCCCCAGCGAAUGGGGAUGCCCAUUUUGGCACAAGCUGUGAGGUUACUGGCUUUGGAAAAGAGAAUCCCUCUGACUAUAUCUAUCCAGAGCAGCUGAAAAUGACUGCUGUGAAGCUGGUUUCCCACGAGGAGUGUCAGCAGCCCCACUACUAUGGCACUGAAGUCACCAGCAAAAUGCUGUGUGCGGCUGACCCACAGUGGAAAACAGAUUCCUGCCAGGGAGACUCAGGGGGGCCGCUGGUCUGCUUCACCCAAGGCCGCAUGACUCUGACUGGGAUUGUGAGCUGGGGCCGUGAAUGUGCCAUGAAGGAAAAGCCAGGCGUCUACACAAGGGUCUCAAGCUUCCUGCCCUGGAUCCACACUCACAUUGGGGGAGAGAAUGGCCUAGCCCUCUGAGGGCCCCCAGAGAACCAAGGGAAGAGACGGGUACCACCCACUCCCACAGUGACCGUCAUUUUUGCAGUAGGGCCAUCUGCACAGCUAUAUAUAACGAAGAGACUGAGGAAGAUGAGCUCUGCAGAGGUGGUUUUGCUUGUGCUGCCCAUCAGGCUGGACUACUUCAUGGCUGAGAGAAUGAGGAGGAAGGAUGGACAGAGGCACGGGGUGGGAUAAACACUUUGCUUAGAACAUCCAUCUAAAGCAGUGGCUCUCCAGGUAUGGUCCUUAAAUCAGCAACUUCAGAUCACCUAGCACAUGUUAGAAGUGCAAAAUUAUCAGGUCCCACUCAAACCUACUGAAUCAGCAACUCUAGAGGUGGGGCCCAGCAAUCUGUGUUUUAACAAGACCUCCAGGUGAUUCUUUUACAUACUCAAGUUUGAGAACCACCCAUCUAAUGCAUUGAUUCUCAGACUUCAGUAUGCACACGAACCACCUGGGGAGCUUGUUAACCAUAACGUGGUUAAACAAAACUGGAUUGGUAUCUGGGCAACUGUAUUUUUAGCAAACUCCCUAGGUGAUUCUGGUAUUCAUCAAAGAUUGAGAAUCACUGAUCUAAGGAAUUCAUUUUAUCAGUUAGCUGAGUCUCCUGGGGAGGGAGCAGACAGAAGGCUGUGGAAAUGUCUCUCAAAGUUACAAAUGCCACCUGCAUCUGCACUUCUGGGGAGCUUGUUAGAAAAGCAGGAUCUGAGUAUCAGAUGUAUUGACCCCAAAUCUCUGGACCUGAGGACCUGGCAGCCACAUUCAGAGUUCUCCAGGUGAUUCUUAUGCAUGUGAAAGUUUGAUAACCCCGGAGCAACAGGUCAGCAGGCAUUCUCAAUGAUGGAUGCAUGUUAGAAUCACCUGGGGAGCUUUAACAGUGACCUGAUAUCUGAACCCCACCUCCAGAGAGUCUGAUUUAAUUGGUCUGGGAUGGGGCUUCAAUAUUUUAUACAAGUCGUCCCUCCCACCCCCACCCAAGUGAUUUUAAUGUAUCGUUAGGGUUAAGAACCAUCAGGUUAAAGGAUGAUGCAGAUCUGGGAAGAAUCAGGAAAUAAGAGAAAGCGAAGGAGUGCCAAAGAAACAAUUGGUGGAAUCCUGUGGGGGAGGUUAGAAAUGUCAAGUUGGAAAUAGGGAGGAGAUAGAAAGGUGGGAAGGGCCUCAGGUGGGAGGGGGAGUAGGUUGGCUUGAGUGGUGUGGAGCUUGGUGUAGGAAAAGGGUUAGUGUAUUAGUUUUCUACUGCUGCUGUAACACAUUACCACAAAUUUAGUGACUUAAAAUAACAUAAAGGCAUUAUUUUACAAUUCUGGAGGUCAGAAAUCCAAAAUGGGUCAGCAGGGCUGAAUUCCUUCUGGAGAUUCUAGGGGAGCAGAAUCUAUUUCCUUGCCUUUUCUAGCUUCUAGAGGCUACCCACAUUCCUUAGCUCAUGACUCCAUAUCACUCUGACCUUUGCUUCUGGCAUCACAUCUCCCUCUCUCACUCUGACUCUCCUGUUUCCCUCUUAUAAAGAUCCCCUUAUAGAUUGUGAUUAUGUCGGUCCUACCCAGAUAAUCUAGAAUAAUCUCCCCAUCUCAAGAUCAUAACUUAAUCACAUCUGCAAAGUCCCUUUUUUCAUGUAAGCUAACAUAGUCAUAGAUUCCAGGGAUUAGGAUGUGGAUAUUCUUGAGGGUCAUUAUUUGGCCCACAACAGUCUGCUCUCUGGCCCCCAAAGAUUCACAAUCAUCACAUAUACAAAAUACACUCACCCCCAUUCCAACAUCCUCCCAAAUCUCGACCCAUUAGAGCAUGAACUCAAAGCCGAAAAUCUCAUCACCUCAAAAGCCCCAACUUUCAUCAUCUAAAUAUUCUUAAAUAAGGUAUGAGUGAGGUACUGGAUAUAAUCCAUCCUAAGACCCAUGUUCUCUCCAUCUGUGAACCUGUGAAACUCAAGAAACAAGUUAUCUGCUUCUAGGAAUAGGCAUAGGAUAAUAGUUAUAGACAUUCUCAUUCAAAAAGGGAGAAAAUGGAAGGAAAAAAGAAGUCACUGGUCCCAAGAAAUGUCAAAAUACUGCUGGGCAAACUCCUUUAGGUUUCAAGGACUGAGAAUAAUCCUCUGUGGCUCAAGGCUCUGUCCUCUGGGGUUGCCCCUCCUCUCUCAGAGUCAUUUUUCCUUUUACUUGAAGGGUAACUUAUGUUUGCAGCAAGAACUUUUAUCACCCUGUUUCCUGCCUGUGGAAUGUUGAGAGUCUGAUAAUCUUCUUUCAUUUUGUUUUCUCUGUCACUUUCAGUCCAAAGUGUUUCUACUGAUAUAAAAUUCUUACGAACCUUGUGGGUCUCUCACAUAUGUCAUAGGCAUUCACUCCAUUAGAUAAAAGUCUUCUCCACAGAUUUUUCUUGGAUGAUCCCAUCUCUAUCUCUGGAUUCUGCUGAGAUGGUUGUGGGGAUCCAUGAGUAACAUGCCCAAUCCAUUGUAAGAGCAUUUUGUAGUAAUAAAUGCUCUGACUUUUUGUAUUAGCAGAAGGUCGUCCAGUCACAACUUUGACUUUCUCUCUAGAGUAUUGUUUCCUGAGAGUGAAUCUGCUAAUUAUAACGUCUUUUCCAAUCUGGAUAGGGUGAGAAUCUCCCAGACCACUAAGUCCUGGUUCCUUUUUAUUCAGAGUUCUUCCCUCAGUUUACUUUCCUCUCACAUUUUACUAUAAAGAUCAAACAUAAAUCAGAUUUCACCUUCAACACUUUGCUUGGAAAUCUCCUAAGCUAAAUACCCAAGUUCAUUCCUCACAAGUUCUGCUUUCCAUAAAACUAUAGGAUACAAUUCAGCUAAGUUUCUGCCACUAUAUAACAAAGACAUCCCCCUCUUCAGUUUCCAAUAAAAUAUUCCUCACUUCCAGGCCUUCACCAGCUGUACCUUCAAUGUCCAUA